This 64-nucleotide transfer RNA is filed under the name Amphigerontia montivaga. RNAcentral describes it as "tRNA-Asn". The record is from RNAcentral. Lineage: Eukaryota; Metazoa; Arthropoda; Insecta; Psocodea; Psocidae.
UUAGUCAAAGCCAAAGUGAGGCGUAUCAUUGUUAAUGAUAUCAUUGAAGUAUAUUCUGAUUAAA